Molecule: ribosomal RNA, 301 nt
Filed under: uncultured bacterium
Lineage: Bacteria
Description: partial 16S ribosomal RNA
Rfam family: Bacterial small subunit ribosomal RNA
Source: RNAcentral
CAGUAGCCACGGGAAUACGAGGGGGGCAAGCGUUGUUCGGAAUUAUUGGGCGUAAAGGGCGCGUAGGCGGUUUGACAAGUCUUAUGUGAAAUCUCUGGGCUCAACCCAGAGUCUGCAUGGGAAACUGUCGGGCUUGAGUAUGGGAGAGGUGAGUGGAAUUUCCGGUGUAGCGGUGAAAUGCGUAGAUAUCGGAAGGAACACCUGUGGCGAAAGCGGCUCACUGGACCAUAACUGACGCUGAGGCGCGAAAGCUAGGGGAGCAAACAGGAUUAGAUACCCCAGUAGUCCCUGUCUCUUAUAC